Non-coding RNA from Podarcis lilfordi (Lilford's wall lizard), 69 nucleotides. The record is from the annotation of a GenBank genome assembly. NCBI's taxonomy places the organism in Eukaryota, Metazoa, Chordata, Lepidosauria, Squamata, Lacertidae.
ACUGGGAUAGUUCAGUCGGUAGAGCAUGAGGCUCUUAAUCUCAGGGUUCGAGCCCCACGUUGGGCAGUA